AUGUACCACGCGUACCCUGCGAUCCCCCCGCGCCGUCCACACCCGCCUGACGGCUGCUCGCUACGUUCUGUUAGCC
This 76-nucleotide small RNA is filed under the name Xanthomonas oryzae pv. oryzicola. RNAcentral describes it as "sX9 sRNA". It matches the Rfam family "Xanthomonas sRNA sX9". The record is from RNAcentral. Lineage: Bacteria; Pseudomonadati; Pseudomonadota; Gammaproteobacteria; Lysobacterales; Lysobacteraceae.